Long non-coding RNA from Clupea harengus (Atlantic herring), 1401 nucleotides. The record is from Ensembl. NCBI's taxonomy places the organism in Eukaryota, Metazoa, Chordata, Actinopteri, Clupeiformes, Clupeidae.
AAUCUCUCAUGUUGCUUGAAGCAAGGCACAUGAGUGCGUUUAAAACUAGCUAAAAUGCUUUCUAACUGGGUGUCUAACUGGACAGCGAGAUUAAGAUGACUUCAAUUCUUCCGCGUGACGGUCCGAUUUGAAGGCAGCAUCGAAGCCUAUGAACCCAUAAAUCUGCGCACCAGAUCCCUCAAGACCGAACACAUUUUAAAAAGAUGUUGGGCCAAAUUGUCGACUCCUGCGACUUCAUUCACAAAUGGUCGUCUAAUGAUAUAGCCAAAUUUAUCCGGGCCAGAGGGCAGGCAGAACACUUGUUCACCGGGCAGAGGAACAGUGCUGUGGAAGGGUGGAAACAGGUACUCAGUUCCAUUGGCCUUGGGACCAAGGUCAGCCCGCAACAAGCGAGAAAAAAGUGGGACAAUUUAAAAAGAAAAUAUAAGGAGCUGAAGUGUCCACCCACAGGGACAGGUACGGAUAAUAAAGUGGACACGGCUGCCUCGUGGUCAUGGUACUCUGCCAUGGAUGAGCUGCUUGGCCAGAGGCACUCUACAUCACCACCCGUGGUGCGUGCCUCAAUGGCCUGCAUCUCAUCCAUGGCAGAGCUACAUUCCUCAUGUGCCAUGUCUUCCCCACCAACGCGAGAGGAGAGAGUGGAGUGUGAAGUGGAGAGGCAGGAAAGGGGAAGGGAGCUUAGUAGCUUCAUGGAUUUCCUGAGGGAGAGCAUCGAGGCAGAGCAGGCUAGGGAGGAGGAGAGGCAGAAGAAGGCUGAGGAGCGGUUCAGCCGACUUUUGGCAAUCCUCGAGAGGAUUGCUGAAAAAGUAAUAAAUAAUUAAACAUUUACAGCAUUAUGUUUUUUUUUUGUAGAUUUUUAGAUGACACAACAACAGAGUUCAGUUAAGUUAAAAUAUCUUUUUUUUUUUUUAAAAGCUCCCCAAGCAAGCCAAAAUGAAUCUGGGCAACAGUGGCGAGGGCGGGCCUAGGCUCAGGGAGCGACCACCCUCCUUGGUCAUUCUUUAGAAACUGCCUGCAAUUAUAAAAUAUUAACAAAAUUGGUUAGAAAAUGCAUGCGUUCAUUCAUUCAUUCAGAACAUUAAGCAAUACCUAAAUCAGAAAGGAUACAAGAAGCUACAGCGCACGCCGGGAGGGAGCAAACAAGUUUAAUUACACAGCGUGCUGACGUCACACGUUACCGUAAAUGCUAUCCUAAAAGGUCGUUUGAAACCAAUGGUUUUUGAAAAUGCCUUCACUCGAAGUCAUGUAUUGUGAGACACCUGUCUAUUAUGGCAACGAGGCAGCAACCUUCCGUUUCGUACGCACUCCAUGUAGUCCAUUCUUUUUCUACUUUGGCAUAUCGGUAGAAACAUCUUUAUUUUUACUGAUCAAGACAACAGUACGUUACGAAAGAUAACCACA